AUUAUAGUUCGUUUCUGUGUGUGUUACAUUUUAAUGUUGUGUUUUUGUUGUGUCGUAGUUCUCUUAUAUUUUAUAAGUUUCCCUCAGUUUUAGUUUGUAACCCGGAUUUGUUUUUUUUUUUGUCUAUCGAUUUAUGAAUUUCGAACAGCGGUAUACUACUGUUAACUUUAUUUAGAAAAGAAAAGAACAUGUGGGGAUUCAGUUAAAAACAUAAAAGGCAUGAUGUAUUGGAACUAUCUUAGCAAUAAUGAUGAAAUUCACUAUGCUACACGGUUCUAGCAAAUACCAUAUAAUCCUCAGAUUGCUGUUUCCUAUCAAAGUACCUAUGAUAAUGAAAAGUGUAUCAUUUGAAUUACUAUACUAGUUAUACCAGUAAUAGUUUUUUUUUAUUGAAAUAAUGAAACCACGUACAGUAAAACCUGUUUUAAGAGACCACUUAAAGGAGAGCAAGAAAUGUGUCUCUUAAGAGAGGUGGUCUCCUAAUACAGGUUCAAUUUAAUUGAAAUGUACCACAGAGGGGUAAACAAUGUAUGGUCUUUUAAGCGGGUUUGACUGUAGUUAUAAAUGCAUGCAUAUAAAGUUUUGCACUUUGUUUCUUUCAUAAAAUUGACUAUCAGUUGUAUUUGUGCUAAUGGUUUGGAAAAGCACCAACACUUCUGUUUUACUCAAACAUAUUUUUCCUAUAGAACUAUUCGAUAUUAUUUUCAAUGUUUUAUAAUGGAAUAAAAAAGCAGGGUAAACAUUACAAAACCCAAAGACAAUAUUUUUUAAAAUAGGUUGUAUGUUAUUAUAUAAAAAAACAAUAAACAAAAAUGAUGGUAAUCAUCUAAAACUCGAAUAACAAACCCAGUGAAAACGGACAGAACUGUUCACUUCUAAGGAAAUGACCCUUGUCAUCAAGAAAUCUUUCAGGACGGAAUAUGUCUGGUUCGUUCCAUACAAUAGGAUCAAGAUGUACGGACAUCAAGUCGCAGAGAAGUAUACUCUUCUUCGGGAUUAAUUUUCCCUCAAUAUAAAUAUCUUCUAGCGUAGUAUGGGGAACUGCCAUCGGAGCUAAAAUGUACA
Molecule: long non-coding RNA, 1065 nt
Filed under: Mytilus galloprovincialis (Mediterranean mussel)
Lineage: Eukaryota; Metazoa; Mollusca; Bivalvia; Mytilida; Mytilidae
Source: RNAcentral